RNAcentral lists this ribosomal RNA (564 nucleotides) under uncultured Glomeromycotina. Its description in RNAcentral is "SSU rRNA". It matches the Rfam family "Eukaryotic small subunit ribosomal RNA", at positions 548 to 1114 of the family's 1831-position model. The record is from RNAcentral. Lineage: Eukaryota; Fungi; Glomeromycota.
UUGGAGGGCAAGUCUGGUGCCAGCAGCCGCGGUAAUUCCAGCUCCAAUAGCGUAUAUUAAAGUUGUUGCAGUUAAGAAGCUCGUAGUUGAAUUUCGGGAUCAGAUUGUCGGUCGUGCCUCGGUACGCACUGGUAUUAUUGGUUCCUACCUUCUGAAGAACCGCGAUGUCAUUAAUUUGGUGUCGUGGGGAAUCAGGACUGUUACUUUGAAAAAAUUAGAGUGUUUAAAGCAGGCUUACGCUUGAAUACAUUAGCAUGGAAUAAUGAAAUAGGACGUUUGAUUCUAUUUUGUUGGUUUCUAGGAUUGACGUAAUGAUUAAUAGGGAUAGUUGGGGGCAUUAGUAUUCAAUUGUCAGAGGUGAGAUUCUUGGAUUUAUAGAAGACUAACUACUGCGAAAGCAUUUGCCAAGGAUGUUUUCAUUAAUCAAGAACGAAAGUUAGGGGAUCGAAGACGAUCAGAUACCGUCGUAGUCUUAACCAUAAACUAUGCCGACUAGGGAUCGGAUGAUGUUAAUUUUUUAAUGACUCAUUCGGCGCCUUACGGGAAACCAAAGUGUUUGGGUUC